AUCAACUUUCGAUGGUAGGAUAGAGGCCUACCAUGGUGGUAACGGGUAACGGGGUGUUAGGGCACGACACCGGAGAGGGAGCCUGAGAAACGGCUACCACAUCCAAGGAUGGCAGCAGGCGCGCAAAUUACCCAAUCCCGACACGGGGAGGUAGUGACAAUAAAUAACAAUACGGGGUUCUUUUGGAUUUCGUAAUUGGAAUGAGUACAAUUUAAAUCUCUUAACGAGGAACAAUUGGAGGGCAAGUCUGGUGCCAGCAGCCGCGGUAAUUCCAGCUCCAAUAGCGUAUAUUAAAGUUGUUGCAGUUAAAAAGCUCGUAGUUGAAUUUCGGGGUCAGUAGGUCGGUCAUGCCACUGGUAUGUACUGGUCUCACUGAUUUCUCCUUCCUGAUGAACCGUAAUGCCAUUAAUUUGGUGUUGCGGGGAGACUGGACUGUUACUUUGAAAAAAUUAGAGUGUUUAAAGCAGGCUAACGCUUGAAUACAUUAGCAUGGAAUAACGGAAUAGGACGUUCGAUCUUAUUUUGUUGGUUUCUAAGAUUGACGUAAUGAUUAAUAGGGAUAGUUGGGGGCAUUAGUAUUCAAUUGUCAGAGGUGAAAUUCUUGGAUUUAUUGAAGACUAACUACUGCGAAAGCAUUUGCCAAGGAUGUUUUCAUUAAUCAAGAACGAAAGUUAGGGGAUCGAAGACGAUCAGAUACCGUCGUAGUCUUAACCAUAAACUAUGCCGACUAGGGAUCGGAUGAUGUUAAUUUUUUAAUGACUCAUUCGGCGCCUUACGGGAAACCAAAGUGUUUGGGUUC
This 799-nucleotide ribosomal RNA is filed under the name uncultured Glomeromycotina. RNAcentral's name for it is "SSU rRNA". It matches the Rfam family "Eukaryotic small subunit ribosomal RNA", at positions 314 to 1114 of the family's 1831-position model. Lineage: Eukaryota; Fungi; Glomeromycota. The record is from RNAcentral.